AGCCUGCCCAGUGACAAAAUUUAACGGCCGCGGUAACCUAACCGUGCGAAGGUAGCAUAAUCACUUGUCCUUUAAAUAGGGGCUCGUAUCAACGGCACCACGAGGGUUAUACUGUCUCCUUUCUCUAAUCAGUGAAACUGAUCCCCCCGUGAAGAAGCGGGGAUAAAACUAUAAGACGAGAAGACCCCAUGGAGCUUUAAAUUAGCAGCAACUCUACCACCCACCCCCCCAUAAAAUAGAGGUAUGCAUGCGACUUUUAGGUUGGGGCGACCGCGGAGUAUAAAAUAACCCCCACGACGAAAAGAGCUAAAUCUUUAUCCUAGAGUUCCCCCUCAAAGAAUUAGUACACUAACGAACAAUGACCCGAUCAUCGAUCAACGAACCAAGUUACCCUGGGGAUAACAGCGCAAUCUACUUCGAGAGCCCCUAUCGACGAGUAGGCUUACGACCUCGAUGUUGGAUCAGGGUAACCUAAUGGUGCAGCCGCUAUAACGGUUCGU
RNAcentral lists this ribosomal RNA (500 nucleotides) under Theloderma albopunctatum. Its description in RNAcentral is "partial large subunit ribosomal RNA". It matches the Rfam family "Bacterial large subunit ribosomal RNA", at positions 1856 to 2576 of the family's 2925-position model. Lineage: Eukaryota; Metazoa; Chordata; Amphibia; Anura; Rhacophoridae. The record is from RNAcentral.